Molecule: long non-coding RNA, 527 nt
Filed under: Heterocephalus glaber (naked mole-rat)
Lineage: Eukaryota; Metazoa; Chordata; Mammalia; Rodentia; Bathyergidae
Description: lncRNA (ENSHGLG00000033300.1)
Source: RNAcentral
CUGCUCUUCUACACCAAAAAGAACCAUCUGAUGUGCUCAAUAUUUAAUAAAUGAACUGAAGCUCUAAUGAGAGAAUGCUGUGAGCUCCAGCGAUAUAUCCCUGCCACCUUCUAUCUGUGUGCAAAUCCACCAGAAGUCAGGGCAUGAAGAAGAGUACUACUCAGCCAAAAGAAGGAUAAACUUGAGAGAUUUAUAGCUAAAUGGAUGCACCUUGAGGCUUUACUCUUAAGUGAAAUAAGUUGGACACACAUGUGUACAUAUCAGAUUAUCUCUCAAGGGUAAGUAAGGACCAAAAUGUAUAAUAGAUAAUGUGAAAAAAGGAAGAAAUUAUUCAAAAGGAAAGGGGAACUGGGAAGCGGGGGGGAGGGGGAAAAGAAGCAAGGGAAAAGAAAAAAAAAGAAAAGAAAGAGAAAAUGGAAACAAAGCUUUGUAAAUAAGGAGGGGAGGGAAUUGGGAGAAAAAGAGCAAUCAAGAUAUACCAUGUACUGGCGCAUUGAGGCGAUACUCUUAAGUGAAAUAAAUAGGAC